CAGCCGCCGCGGUAAUACGGAGGGUGCAAGCGUUAAUCGGAAUUACUGGGCGUAAAGCGCACGCAGGCGGUUUGUUAAGUCAGAUGUGAAAUCCCCGGGCUCAACCUGGGAACUGCAUCUGAUACUGGCAAGCUUGAGUCUCGUAGAGGGGGGUAGAAUUCCAGGUGUAGCGGUGAAAUGCGUAGAGAUCUGGAGGAAUACCGGUGGCGAAGGCGGCCCCCUGGACGAAGACUGACGCUCAGGUGCGAAAGCGUGGGGAGCAAACAGGAUUAGAUACCCUGGUAGUCCACGCCGUAAACGAUGAGUGCUAAGUGUUAGGGGGUUUCCGCCCCUUAGUCUCAGCUACGCAUAAGCACUCCGCCUGGGAGUCGACCGCAAGGUUAAACUAAG
RNAcentral lists this ribosomal RNA (390 nucleotides) under uncultured soil bacterium. RNAcentral's name for it is "bacterial SSU rRNA". It matches the Rfam family "Bacterial small subunit ribosomal RNA", at positions 509 to 904 of the family's 1533-position model. The record is from RNAcentral.